This 598-nucleotide ribosomal RNA is filed under the name Largus sp. CMF 0230. RNAcentral describes it as "partial large subunit ribosomal RNA". It matches the Rfam family "Eukaryotic large subunit ribosomal RNA", at positions 1400 to 1895 of the family's 3401-position model. Lineage: Eukaryota; Metazoa; Arthropoda; Insecta; Hemiptera; Largidae. The record is from RNAcentral.
GCGCGGAAGGGUCUGGGCGCGAGCCCGCCUGGAGCCGCCGCCGGUGCAGAUCUUGGUGGUAGUAGCAAAUACUCCAGCGAGGCCCUGGAGGACUGAUGUGGAGAAGGGUUUCUUGUGAACAGCUGUUGCACAAGAGUCAGUCGAUCCUAAGCCCUAGGAGAAAUCCGAAACGAUGGUUUGCCGUUAAGACUCCACGUACCCGUUGGGCGGUCGUUAGUGACGCGGCCGUUCCGGCGUGGUAAUAACGAGCUGGCAACAUUUGGGCGAAAGGGAAUCCGGUUCCUAUUCCGGAACCCGGCCGCGGAACCGCUCCAAUUCGGGCCCUCAUACGAGGACUCGUCGGGGUGACCCGAAAUGACCCGGAGAAGCCGUAGGGAGGUCCGGGGAGAGUUGUCUCUUCUCUAUAAGCGUUCGAGUUCCCUGGAAUCCUCUAGGAGGGAGAUAGGGUUUGGAACGCGAAGAGCACCGCACUUACGGCGGUGUCCGGAUCUUCCCCUCGGACCUUGAAAAUCCGGGCGAGGGCCACGAGGAACACCGCGCCGGCUCGUACCCAUAUCCGCAGCAGGUCUCCAAGGUGAAUAGCCUCUAGUCGAUAGAA